RNAcentral lists this ribosomal RNA (485 nucleotides) under uncultured bacterium. RNAcentral's name for it is "partial 16S ribosomal RNA". It matches the Rfam family "Bacterial small subunit ribosomal RNA", at positions 29 to 507 of the family's 1533-position model. The record is from RNAcentral.
AUUGAACGCUGGCGGCAUGCCUUACACAUGCAAGUCGAACGGCAGCACGGGUGCUUGCCCCUGGUGGCGAGUGGCGAACGGGUGAGUAAUACAUCGGAACAUGUCCUGUAGUGGGGGAUAGCCCGGCGAAAGACGGAUUACUACCGCAUACGAUCUACGGAUGAAAGCGGGGGACCUUCGGGCCUCGCGCUAUAGGGUUGGCCGAUGGCUGAUUAGCUCGUUGGUGGGGUAAAGGCCUACCAAGGCGACACUCAGUAGCCGGUCUGGGAGGACGACCAGCCACAUGGAAACUGGAACACGGCCCAGACUCCUACGGAGGGCAGCGUUGGGAAAUUUUGGACAAGGGGCGAAAGCCGAAGGCGGCAAGGCCGCGGGUGUAAAGAGGGCCUUCGGUUUGAAAAGCACUUUUGUCCGGAAAAAAAUCCUUGGCCGUAAUACGGCCGGGGAUGACGGUACCGAAAGAAUAAGCACCGGCUAACUACGUG